Molecule: long non-coding RNA, 3450 nt
Organism: Oxyura jamaicensis (ruddy duck)
Lineage: Eukaryota; Metazoa; Chordata; Aves; Anseriformes; Anatidae
Exons: 2
Source: RefSeq, a predicted model, not a curated record
UUUGGUAUUGGCAGUGAAGGCAAGAGCAAGUUGUGAUGACAGUGUAUAUAUUUACUUGUGCAUCCAAGCUGAUUCAGAAGUCUUUCUAAAGGUUCAAGGAAUUAAACUUCCCUUGUAUGCCCCAGAGGUCUAGUUUUAAGCAAUUACUAAACGAUGCCUGUAGCAGACCUUGACCAGAAGCACAGUGUCCAAAAUGGCAGGAUUCCUGCAUUCCAUUGCAAAGGCCCCUAUGUCACACAUUACUUCUGAUCUGUGUUCAAUUAAGUCAAGCACCCAUUUUAUAAACAUGCAAUUUUUGUAAGCUCUUGACUUGAAAACAUAUUUUCAAAAUUAAACUUUACUGGUUGUUAGCUAUGUACUUUCCAAUGCCAGAAAGUGGGCAGUGCAUGUUGUGCAAUGCAAGGUGUCACUGCCUGGGAAACUAGGAGGUACAGGUUUCAGUGCUGGUGCUCAGAUAUUUCAUGUACACUGAUUGUAGCAGUGUAUAUGGUGAAGGUUAGCUGCAUUAUCCUUGACUAACUGGGCUAUGCAGACUGUGGCUACCUUAGCAGAACAAGGCAGGUCACCAUAGGGAUGCCUCUGGAAAGACUGCAUUCCCUCAAGUAAUAAUCAGGUCAUCAGCCAGCUUCCAAACUUAUUAUGUAAAGGCUUAAAAACAAAACAAAGGUGCAGACUAUUUUGAAAAAGCUUCAUUUAAAAAAAUAAGGUAAGAAUUCUAGCUCAUAUCCAAGAAGUCUUUUAAGUGCCUGACUUACGUACAAAGAGAAACAACUAAGGGGAUCAUAUGUCUUAAGCUGUCCACAUGAUAAGACAAAUCUCCUCAGUGUCACAGAAAAGUCAAAUACUGCAGACCUGCUAGACCUACCUGACUGAUGUAGACCAGACCUACUAUUGUUGGGCUAUGAGUGAAGUUUUCUGCCUUCCCUUCAACAAUGCUAGUCACUCCAUGCAUCCCUCAAAUAUGCUUGCAGGCAUUCACAGUUAUUUGCACAGGCUGUAUUGUCCCAGCAAGUCUGAAGUAAUGUAUCUUUGCGUAUUGUGAGCAUAUCCAGACCUGUUUUGUGUGUGUGCAGAAAGACGCUUCAGGCUUCACUCAAACAGUAGUGGUAUCACGUUCUAAAGCAGUUCAGCAUUUUGCUGAAGGUAACAGUCACAGCAAAGCUACUCCUCAUCCCUGAAAAACAGCAGGCACAGCUUGGAAUGUUGCAAAAACAUAGAUAUUGCAGAUGGUGUAUGCUGUUCUGGAGAUCUUUUGUAGCCCACACACCAUUGCCAGCAGCUUGCUCCAGAGCUCUGGCCUUGCCUAUGGGGGAGAUUAAGUUUUCAGCUUGUUUCAACACAGACAUAACAUGUGGUGAAGAUUGAAUCUUUUUUCUUGUGGCUUGACAUAUUUUCAGGUGAUUGUCUGAAGCAAAGCAAACACAAAAACCAUAGGAAAAAAGACAAUGCAGACACUGACACAUGGUGAUGGCAUUUGGCUGCCAGUUCUGACAGUAAUAAUGGAAAGUUGGAUCUGGCAUAAGAACUCGUUCUCACCUCAAGCUGUAACUUACCUUUGACAUUUAAUUUGUGUUUCUCAGUGUAUUUGUAUGUGCUCUGAAGAAAUCUAAAUCUUGGGGAAGAUAUCUAAAAGAAAAUGCCAAGUUGCAGACACUUUUUUUUUUUUUUCAUAUUCCAUCUCUCUCUCACAUGUAUAUUCACAACCUUUUUGCAAUAGAAAAGCAAAAUAGAUUUAUUAAGUUAGAUCAGAGGUACUGACAAAUUAACAUGAAGAAUUCAGGAGUGGAUACUAUUCAUGGCUGAAGGCUAGAGAUAUUACUACCUCAUGAGUUGCCUCCCAAGGGGCAGGGGAAGAACUCCAUCAGCAUUUUGUCAUCAGUUUGGUUUCUUCUAUUAAGAUGGAUGAAUUUAAAGGCUCCCUUGUCCUUCCCCCAACAACCAACAGGCAGCAUAAAGAACAGUAUUGACAGUCAUUCUGCAGAGCCAUAAAAGAAAAUAUCUGCCACAAGACAGUAUAAUGAGAUUAUCGUCUAUAGUUUUUGUACCCUAUGAACUUGCAUUGUAGUUACGUGCUCACAGUGUUGGAAGCCUGCAGUGCUGCUACAAAAAUAACACUGCUGAAUCCGGUGUAUUAAUGUUUUGUUAAUACCAUGCACACACACGCUACUCUGUAGGCUACAGCUAUGAGCUGCUGUGUGAAAGCAAUGAAACACUCUGAAUAGCAUUUGAUUGUCAAAGAGCAAUGAGCAUAAGCUUGCAACUAAGAAGUGUUGCUUUUUUUAAUUAAAAUGUUGUAGCAACAACAAAAGAUCCCUAAAAUUAACCAGAGUUUAAACAGCUAUUUGACUGACAACCAAGGCUGUUUAUCUCCAGCAUGUCUGUUAUAAAAAAUAAAAUUUCUCACCCCCUCCUCUCCUGACACCUCAGUAACUUUGUUAAGAAAACAAAAUUCUUUCUUGGUAGAAAGAAUUCUUGAGUAACAGACAUGCCAGUAUUCUACUGGUUGUUGGCACAUUACCCACCUCCUCUAGAGAUUUCUUAUUUUACAUUUUCCAAGAAAACAUAGUUGUCUGUGGGUGUAUUUACAUUUUCCUUCACCAGUCUUCCCAUUCAACAUACAGAGAGCGUAAAAUAGUGGAGCUCAUUGAAAUGCCAGGCUGUGCUCGUUUGGUAUGCACUGUUCUAAUUCAGUUUAAGAUGAAACGGUAAAACCUAUCCUAGUUUCCAAUGUAAAGGAAACCAAACCUGUAGUACUAUUAAAUAAUCAAAUCAUUAUCAUGAAUAAGCAACUGGGAAAAGAGGGAGGGGGGGCAAUCUUUUGUAUGUAAAUAAGCUACAGCUUCAUGGUUGAAAGCAUGCUGUUGCUCUUCCAGCAUUGACGUUCUACUGCAGAAAGCAAGAGUGAAUUUUUGUUACAAUUGGACCCUUUAUUCUAGUUCAGAGUAAGUAAUAUAUUGUACAUUCCCCGUAAGUUAAAAUGGUGAAUUAUAUGGUGCUAACUAUUGGUAUGAAGGUGAUACAGACUUACUUGACUCAACUUAAAAAUAAAAAGAAGUGUAUUUGGGGAAUAAUUAAGUGCUAUCUGGCUCUUCUCUAUUGCUAAAAAGUCAACUGUGAAUUGAGUUUUGUUCAGAUUAACAUGAAGCUGCUUAUAAAAGGUUUCUUGUUCUUACAUAAUCUUAGCAGACCCCAGUUUAUAGUAAAAUAUUCUCCCACUGUCCAAAGUUUAUAUGGUUCUAUCAUCUGAUAUUUCUAUUCUCUUGUUAGCUAUGAGACAACUUACUGUUAUAAAUCUUACUUACAAAGUUUCUAAUGUAAAGGUGUAAUCUUUUGAGCUCUCAAAUCAGAUAAAAUGUUAAAUUCAAAAAAUGUGAGAACCUCAGCCAUAAAAUUGUUACUAUGAUGUUUAUGUUAUUUUAAACAUUUAAUAAAACAAAAUAUUUUAAAACU